UGGCCUAACACAUGCAAGUCGAGCGGGGUUUUCGGACCCAGCGGCGGACGGGUGAGUAAUGCGUAGGAAGCUACCCGACAGGGGGGGAUACCAGUUGGAAACGACUGUUAAUACCGCAUAAUGUCUACGGACCAAAGUGUGGGACCUUCAGGCCACAUGCUGUCGGAUGCGCCUACGUGGGAUUAGCUAGUUGGUGAGGUAAUGGCUCACCAAGGCGACGAUCCCUAGCUGGUUUGAGAGGAUGAUCAGCCACACUGGAACUGAGACACGGUCCAGACUCCUACGGGAGGCAGCAGUGGGGAAUAUUGGACAAUGGGCGCAAGCCUGAUCCAAAGAUGCCGCGUGUGUGAAGAAGGCCUUCGGGUUUAAUAAAUGGUCAGCGAGGAGGAAGGGUUGUGUGUUAAUAGCAC
RNAcentral lists this ribosomal RNA (410 nucleotides) under uncultured bacterium. RNAcentral's name for it is "bacterial SSU rRNA". It matches the Rfam family "Bacterial small subunit ribosomal RNA", at positions 44 to 467 of the family's 1533-position model. The record is from RNAcentral.